This 429-nucleotide ribosomal RNA is filed under the name Bacillota bacterium. RNAcentral's name for it is "Firmicutes bacterium partial 16S ribosomal RNA". It matches the Rfam family "Bacterial small subunit ribosomal RNA", at positions 355 to 776 of the family's 1533-position model. The record is from RNAcentral. Lineage: Bacteria; Bacillati; Bacillota.
UAGGGAAUCUUCGGCAAUGGACGGAAGUCUGACCGAGCAACGCCGCGUGAGUGAAGAAGGUUUUCGGAUCGUAAAGCUCUGUUGUUAGAGAAGAACGUUGGUAGGAGCGGAAAAUCUACCAAGUGACGGUAACUAACCAGAAAGGGACGGCUAACUACGUGCCAGCAGCCGCGGUAAUACGUAGGUCCCGAGCGUUGUCCGGAUUUAUUGGGCGUAAAGCGAGCGCAGGCGGUUCUUUAAGUCUGAAGUUAAAGGCAGUGGCUUAACCAUUGUACGCUUUGGAAACUGGAGGACUUGAGUGCAGAAGGGGAGAGUGGAAUUCCAUGUGUAGCAGUGAAAUGCGUAGAUAUAUGGAGGAACACCGGUGGCGAAAGCGGCUCUCUGGUCUGUAACUGACGCGGAGGCUCGAAAGCGUGGGGAGCAAACAGG